GGCCACUUAACUGACUGAGCCGCCCAGGCGCCCCAAGGACGGUUUUCUUUAAAAUGAUGGUGGGAUCUCAUAUGGCCAUGUUCAAGAUCAGUGACGUUUUCAGAAAAGAGUAAGAAUCGAUGCAACUGCAGUGGGAAGCCUGGAGCAAAGCCUGAGGGUCAAGUUUGACAGAGCUCAGGACUGCUCUGGAUGCAUGACAGACCUUGGCUUCACCAGACCCCAAGCAUGACCUCAUUUUCUCAUAGAGAAAUGCUUCUUUAGCAAGGACCUUACAAUCUUCUAUGUAAAAUAAAAAUUGUCCUUCUUGGAUAUAUUCCUGCUGGAGUCCUGAAAAGCUGGAAUUCGUUUCGAACACCAUAUAUAUCUAAGUUGUUUGAAGAUAUUGUUUCAAAAAGAUGCCUCAGGAACCACUUAAGAAGAAUACUCAGCUUCAGAUCCGUUCUGUAACGUUGGCACACACCAAGGAGCCAGAAGCUAUGCGUUUCUUUUUUCUGGAGCACUCAUCUUUUUGGUAUGCUGGCACAAUUGUUUGCAAGCUCUCAUCAUCAUGGGGAAGUCAUCUAUUAAGAACCAUCUGCUGAAGAGAAUUCCAGUCCCUAAUAUUACAUCGCUGCUGGACCUGUCCAUGUGCUUCCCCACUGCCCACCACUACCUUUCUCACGUUGCUUCUUUGUGUCUGUGCAUGGAGAACAAACAAAUGUACGGGAUUUGUUUUACUUAAGACUUAGCGUGGUGGAGCUAAAAGUGUAGUUCACUGCCUCUCAAACGUCAACGUGCAGAGGAGUCACCUGAGACUCUUAUUAAAAUGCAGAUUUGGGGCGCCUGGGUGGCUCAGUUGGUUAAGCCUCUGACUUCAGCUCAGGUCAUGAUCUCAUGGUUUUUGGAUUCCAGCCUUGAGUCGGGCUCUGUGCUGACAGCUCAG
Felis catus (domestic cat) is the source of this 922-nucleotide long non-coding RNA. RefSeq lists it as uncharacterized. The record is from RefSeq and is a predicted model, not a curated record. The transcript is spliced from 3 exons. Lineage: Eukaryota; Metazoa; Chordata; Mammalia; Carnivora; Felidae.